UGGUAUCAGAGCCUAUGGUGGUGUGCGGCGAAGGUGGUGAGGUGUUCGUGGUCCCUACCCAGCGGGGACAGAGAAAGCCUAAAUGGCCCACACAUAAAGAUCCUGGAGAAGAAAAAAAAAA
Quercus lobata is the source of this 121-nucleotide long non-coding RNA. RefSeq lists it as uncharacterized. Lineage: Eukaryota; Viridiplantae; Streptophyta; Magnoliopsida; Fagales; Fagaceae. The record is from RefSeq and is a predicted model, not a curated record. The transcript is spliced from 2 exons.